CCCUUCUGUUGAUCCUGCCAGUCAUAUGCUUGUCUCAAAGAUUAAGCCAUGCAUGUCUGAGUUCGGCCCCCGUCCCGUACGGCCAAACCGCGAAUGGCUCAUUAAAUCAGUCCCGGUUCCUUGGGUGACACGGCCCGCUCGGCGGGCGUUUCGGAUAACUGUGGCAAAUCCAGAGCUAAUACGUUCAAUUCGAGCCCCGACCCGGUGUCUCGUCAGCGCUACCCUCGCGGGAGUCGGCGUUUCUAUCGGGGAAGGGCGCUUUUAUUAGUGCGAGACCGGCGUCUGCCCCGGCAGACCCGCGUCAGGCGAACUCUGAAUAACUCGGCUCGACCGCUUCGUCCUUCGCGGGCGGCGGCGCGCCUUCCAAGCGUCUGCCCUAUCAAAUGUCGACGGUAGAUUACGUGCCAACCGUGUUGACGACGGGUAACGGGGAAUCGGGGUUCGGUUCCGGAGAGGGAGCACGAGAAACGGCUACCACAUCCAAGGAAGGCAGCAGGCGCGCAACUUACCCACUCCCGGCUCGGGGAGGUAGUGACGAGAAAUAACGGCGCGGGUCUCGAGUCGGGCCCCGCGGUCGGAAUGAGCGCAGUCCAAAACCCUGACGGCGACGACCCAUCGGAGGGCAAGCCUGGUGCCAGCAGCCGCGGUAAUUCCAGCUCCGAUAGCGUAUAUUAAAGCUGCUGCAGUUAAAAAGCUCGUAGUUGGAUCUCGAGACGGUUACGGGGUCAGUUCUUUCCGGUCGGCCUCUCGGCGGCGCGUCGUCGCCCGUGCGUCGUUAUUUAUCCCCGUGGGCUCGUCCCCGGGGGGGCCGGCGCACGGCGGCGGCGUCCGUCGGCGAGGUCCCGGUUCACGGAUCUCCUCGCUUAACCGUCCCUACGAACGCUGGCUCUCUCCCGUUCGGCCGUUCUUCGCUGAGCGACCGCGGGUGGCCGGCUUUUUACUUUGAAAAAAUUAGAGUGUUCAAGGCGGGCCCGACGCGCCCGGAUAGCCGCGCAUGGAAUGAUGGAACAGGACCGCCGUCCCGUUCAACACUGGCCGGUCUCAGGGGCGGAGGUAAUGAUCGAGAGGGACGGCCGGGGGCAUUCGUACCGCGGCGGGAGAGGUGAAAUUCGAUGAUCGUCGCGAGACGGCCGAGAGCGAAAGCAUUUGUCAAGAGCGCUUUCCUUAAUCAAGAACGAAAGUCGGAGGCUCGAAGACGAUCAGAUACCGUCGUAGUUCCGACCGUAAACGAUGCCGACCGGCGAUCCGCGGAAGUCUCGUACGGACUGCGCGGGCGGCCCCCGGGAAACCAGAGUCUUUGGGUUCCGGGGGGAGUAUGGUCGCAAAGCUGAAACUUAAAGGAAUUGACGGAAGGGCACCACCAGGAGUGGGGUCUGCGGCUUAAUUUGACUCAACACGGGAAAACUCACCCGGUCCGGACACCGUUAGGAUUGACAGACCGAGGCUCUUUCUUGAUUCGGUGGGUGGUGGUGCAUGGCCGUUCUUAGUUGGUGGAGCGAUCUGUCUGGUUAAUUCCGAUAACGAACGAGACUCCGGCCUGCUAGUUAGUGCGUGAGCGUCCGGCGUUUAUCGGUUGUCGGGGAGCGGCGGGUCGGCUCUCGUGGUCGCGCCCGUCGUCCUCUCCCGUCGCCGUCUUCGCCCGCUGUCGUGACCCGAUUGACUUCUUAGAGGGACGGGCGGUGGCCAGCCGCACGAGAAGGAGCGAUAACAGGUCUGUGAUGCCCUUAGACGUCCGGGGCCGCACGCGUGCUACACUGGGGGAGUCAACGCGGACCGCCUCCCGGCCCGAACGGCGUCGGGAAAGCCGCUGAGUCUCCCCCGUGCUCGGGAUCGGGGCUUGACCAUUGUGCCCCGUCAACGAGGAAUUCCCCGUAGGCGCGGGUCAUAACCCCGUGCCGACUACGUCCCUGCCCUUUGUACACACCGCCCGUCGCUACCAUCGGUGGACGGUCUAGCGAGGGCCUCGGACCGGCGACGAAUUCUUUCCUUCGCGGGAUCGACUCGUCGCCGGGAAGACGCCCGAACUCGGUCGCUCGGAGAUAGUAAAAGUCGUAACAAGGUUUCCGUAGGUGAACCUGCGGAAGGAUC
This 2088-nucleotide ribosomal RNA is filed under the name Flabellina cavolini. RNAcentral's name for it is "SSU rRNA". It matches the Rfam family "Eukaryotic small subunit ribosomal RNA". Lineage: Eukaryota; Metazoa; Mollusca; Gastropoda; Nudibranchia; Flabellinidae. The record is from RNAcentral.